Pseudoliparis swirei is the source of this 139-nucleotide small nucleolar RNA. RefSeq annotates it as small nucleolar RNA SNORA57. The transcript has a single exon. NCBI's taxonomy places the organism in Eukaryota, Metazoa, Chordata, Actinopteri, Perciformes, Liparidae. The record is from RefSeq and is a predicted model, not a curated record.
CCUCCAAUUCUUGACGCACACGUGGUUGUCCAGUACUCGUGUGCGAUACGCACGGAGGGAGAAAAAAAUGCAGCGCUAUGUCUUCGGUGCCGGUGUGUGUUAUCGUCUGCCGGUUCUAUCCUCAAUCGCUGUAACAUUC